AGAGUUUGAUCCUGGCUCAGAGCGAACGCUGGCGGCAGGCCUAACACAUGCAAGUCGAGCGCCGUAGCAAUACGGAGCGGCAGACGGGAGAGUAACACGUGGGAACGUGCCCUUUGGUUCGGAACAACCCAGGGAAACUUGGGCUAAUACCGGAUAAGCCCUUACGGGGAAAGAUUUAUCGCCGAAGGAUCGGCCCGCGUCUGAUUAGCUAGUUGGUGGGGUAACGGCCCACCAAGGCGACGAUCAGUAGCUGGUCUGAGAGGAUGAUCAGCCUCACUGGGACUGAGACACGGCCCAGACUCCUACGGGAGGCAGCAGUGGGGAAUAUUGGACAAUGGGCGCAAGCCUGAUCCAGCCAUGCCGCGUGGGUGAUGAAGGCCCUAGGGUUGUAAAGCCCUUUCGGCGGGGAAGAUAAUGACGGUACCCGCAGAAGAAGCCCCGGCUAACUUCGUGCCAGCAGCCGCGGUAAUACGAAGGGGGCUAGCGUUGCUCGGAAUCACUGGGCGUAAAGCGCACGUAGGCGGCUUUUUAAGUCAGGGGUGAAAUCCUGGAGCUCAACUCCAGAACUGCCUUUGAUACUGAGAAGCUUGAGUCCGGGAGAGGUGAGUGGAACUGCGAGUGUAGAGGUGAAAUUCGUAGAUAUUCGCAAGAACACCAGUGGCGAAGGCGGCUCACUGGCCCGGUACUGACGCUGAGGUGCGAAAGCGUGGGGAGCAAACAGGAUUAGAUACCCCAGUAGUCC
This 742-nucleotide ribosomal RNA is filed under the name uncultured bacterium. Its description in RNAcentral is "bacterial SSU rRNA". It matches the Rfam family "Bacterial small subunit ribosomal RNA", at positions 8 to 796 of the family's 1533-position model. The record is from RNAcentral.